UAAAGCGCGCGUAGGCGGUUACGUAAGUUGGAUGUGAAAUCCCCGGGCUCAACCUGGGAAUUGCAUUCAAAACUGCGUGGCUAGAGUGUGGGAGAGGAAGGUAGAAUUCCAGGUGUAGCGGUGAAAUGCGUAGAUAUCUGGAGGAAUACCGAUGGCGAAGGCAGCCUUCUGGCCUAACACUGACGCUGAGGUGCGAAAGCAUGGGGAGCAAACAGGAUUAGAUACCCUAG
This 230-nucleotide ribosomal RNA is filed under the name uncultured bacterium. RNAcentral describes it as "partial 16S ribosomal RNA". It matches the Rfam family "Bacterial small subunit ribosomal RNA", at positions 561 to 790 of the family's 1533-position model. The record is from RNAcentral.